CACAGAGUUAGCCGGUGCUUCUUCUGGGGCUAACGUCAAAAUGUUUGGAUAUUAACCAAACACCCUUCCUCACCCCUGAAAGUGCUUUACAACCCUAAGGCCUUCUUCACACACGCGGCAUGGCUGGAUCAGGCUUGCGCCCAUUGUCCAAUAUUCCCCACUGCUGCCUCCCGUAGGAGUCUGGGCCGUGUCUCAGUCCCAGUGUGACUGGCCAUCCUCUCAGACCAGUUAAAGAUCGUCGCCUUGGUAGGCCUUUACCCUACCAACUAGCUAAUCUUACGCAGGCUCAUCUAAUAGCGAAAGGUCCGAAGAUCCCCCUCCUUUCCCCCGUAGGGCGUAUGCGGUAUUAGCAUGCGUUUCCACAUGUUGUCCCCCAUACCUAGGCAGAUUCCUACGCGUUACUCCACCCGUCCGCCGCUCGACGCCCUGUAGCAAGCUACAUCGUUUUCCGCUCGACUUGCAUGUGUUAAGCCUGCCGCAGCGUUCAAUCUGAGCCAGGAUCAAACU
RNAcentral lists this ribosomal RNA (507 nucleotides) under uncultured Marinomonas sp. RNAcentral's name for it is "partial 16S ribosomal RNA". The record is from RNAcentral. Lineage: Bacteria; Pseudomonadati; Pseudomonadota; Gammaproteobacteria; Oceanospirillales; Oceanospirillaceae.